This 1425-nucleotide ribosomal RNA is filed under the name marine metagenome. RNAcentral's name for it is "bacterial LSU rRNA". It matches the Rfam family "Bacterial large subunit ribosomal RNA", at positions 1104 to 2594 of the family's 2925-position model. The record is from RNAcentral.
GCUUAGAGGCAGCCAUCAUUUAAACAGUGCGUAAUAGCUGACUCAUCGAGUGAUUUCGCGCCGAAAAUGAUUGGCGAUAAAUAACGUACCGAAGCCGCGGAUAGCAGAGUGGUUCGCCAUUCUGCUGUGGUAGGAGAGCGUGAACGGUGCAGUGAAGCAGAACCGAAAGGGGACGUGGAGCGCCGUUCAGUGAGAAUGCAGACACGAGUAGCGAUAAACCAGAUGAGAAUUCUGGUCGCCGUAAACCCAAGGUUUCCUGGGCUAGGUUCGUCCUCCCAGGGUCAGUCGGGAGCUAAGAUGAGGUCGUAAGACGUAAUCGAUGCACAGCUGGUCAACAUUCCAGCACCGAUGUGGUUCAAACCGUUAGUGACGCAAGGAGAAAAGUGGCAAGAUUAUUGAAAAAUCUAGCUUAGGGGCAACCUGAAGCAAGUCACCAGACAACUUGUCUAGAAAAGCUAACGGCCCUUUUCCACAUUGCCCGUACCGCAAACCGACACAGGUGGGUGGGUGUAAAUGCACCAAGGCGCGCGAGAGAGACCUCUCUAAGGAACUCGGCACAUUAGCCCCGUAACUUCGGGAAAAGGGGUGCUCGCUUCGGCGAGCCACAGUAAAUUGCGUUUAGCGACUGUUUAACAAAAACACAGCACUCUGCCACGUCGUUAAGACAACGUAUAGGGUGUGACAAGUGACCAAUGCGGAAAGAUCAAGGCAAGUUGUUAGCCGCAAGGCGAAGCUCCGAACCUAAGUCCCCGUGAAUGUCGGCCGUAACUAUAACGGUCCUAAGGUAGCGAAAUUCCUUGUCGGGUAAGUUCCGACCUGCACGAAUCUUGUAACGACUGAACGACUGUCUCGGAGAGGUUCUCGGCGAAACUGUAAUGGCGGUGAAGAUGCCGCCUGCCCGCAGUAGGACGGAAAGACCCUAUGCACCUUUACUGUAAGCUCGUAUUGGCUUCUGAUUGAUGAUGCUUAGCGUAGGUGGGAGACUUUGAAGGCACGGUUUCGGUUGUGCUGGAGUCGAAAUGUGAAACACCACUCUUUGUCAAUUAGGAGUCUAACCUCGAUCCCGUUAGCCGGGCGAGGGACAGUGCGUGCGGGUCAGUUUGGCUGGGGCGGCUUCCUCCCAAAUGGUAACGGAGGAGCGCGAAGCUGGGCUCAGCAUGGUUGGCAACCAUGCGUCGAGCGUAUGGGUAGAAGCCCGGUUAACUGCGAGACCAACAAGUCAAGCAGAUGCGAAAGCAGGCCCAAAUGAUCCGAUGGUUGAAUGUGGAAUUGCCAUCGCUCAACGGACAAAAGGUACGCUAGGGAUAACAGGCUGAUCGGGACCAAGAGUUCACAUCGACGUCCCGGUUUGGCACCUCGAUGUCGGCUCAUCGCAUCCUGGGGCUGGAGAAGGUCCCAAGGGUCCGGCUGUUCGCCGGUUAAAGC